Molecule: long non-coding RNA, 790 nt
Organism: Seriola aureovittata
Lineage: Eukaryota; Metazoa; Chordata; Actinopteri; Carangiformes; Carangidae
Exons: 3
Source: RefSeq, a predicted model, not a curated record
UGGUUAUUGUGUAGACUAACAAUAUGACAUUAUAUAAAAGUAGAAAACCACCUGAAGUGAUCGCUGGCAGCCCCGUCUCCCUCCCUGCGUGUGAGCCGCAAUCAAGUCUAUAUUUGCGGUAGGGGGGUAAAUGGGCGGCCCCUCCUCAAGUGGUACAACCCCGGUGAGCCGUGGACUGUAAUAUGUCAGCUAAUUACCGAUAACAUGUACUCUACUUCGGGCGAGAUGGAGGGCAGAGAAAAGAGAAAGGUGGAGCAGAGAAGAAUUAAAAAGAAAAAAGUGAAGGAGAAGGAAUUCUGAACAUCCAAAGACCCGACAGCCUCAGACCUGAGUCAGCCCAGUGAUCCAGAUGAGGCAGCGCUAAUAGGAGGGAGCAGGGAAAACACAGCUGCAGGUCUGGCUGAGUCAAUCUGACAGUGAAGGUUGAGAGCGCCCUCUGCUGGACCAAAAGCUCAACUACUUUAAACACUCUGCUGUGUUAAUACGCUGUAACUUUUAAGGUAAGUUAGAAUAUUUGAUUUCUUCCCAUGUUCAAAUGAAUGUUUGACUAUAAAGUGACAACAUUACUGAACAGUGAGUAAAUUAAACUGAAAUUGUAAAAGUGUGGAGGAACAAAAUAAGUUUUAGAAAAGUAAGGUGGAGAUGCCAAACCCAGUAAAUAUUUGGCGUCCGACAGAACAUGGAGCUUAAAUUCUUUUUUUUAAUUAAUAUAAAUUAUGGUAAUGUUUCAAUAUUUUAAUAUUUCAGUUUUCAGUUUGAAAGCCUUUGCAUACUGUAAACUACUUUGGAG